CUUUGUAUUUUUCCACAGCUUUCUUGAACUGCAUCAUCUUUGCAUGAGGCCACAGACUUGGCAUGGCAUUUGUUGCGGUUCAAUAAAGCUGUGGGAAGAUACAAACA
Molecule: non-coding RNA, 107 nt
Organism: Citrus sinensis (sweet orange)
Lineage: Eukaryota; Viridiplantae; Streptophyta; Magnoliopsida; Sapindales; Rutaceae
Source: Rfam